UUUCCGUAGGUGAACCUGCGGAAGGAUCAUUAAUGAGUUGUCAUGGGGUUCGAUGCUGGCAGCCAAUUUUUGGAUGCAUGUGCUUGCCCUAACAAUCAUCUUCCAAACACCUGUGCACAUUUUUGAGGGAGUCUUGAGUUGGUUGCCGCUCUUGGGUGAUUUUCUCACACUCCCGUAAAUCAUUAUACGCUAUUAACAAUGAUGAACGUGCUCUGUGCCGCAAGGCUAUUAAUAUAAUACAACUUUUAACAACGGAUCUCUUGGCUCUG
This 269-nucleotide unclassified non-coding RNA is filed under the name plant metagenome. RNAcentral describes it as "partial contains small subunit ribosomal RNA, internal transcribed spacer 1, and 5.8S ribosomal RNA". The record is from RNAcentral.